Molecule: unclassified non-coding RNA, 328 nt
Filed under: soil metagenome
Description: partial contains 5.8S ribosomal RNA, internal transcribed spacer 2, and large subunit ribosomal RNA
Rfam family: 5.8S ribosomal RNA (bases 1-120)
Source: RNAcentral
GAUGAAGAACGUAGCGAAAUGCGAUAAGUAAUGUGAAUUGCAGAAUUCAGUGAAUCAUCGAAUCUUUGAACGCACAUUGCGCCCCUUGGUAUUCCGAGGGGCAUGCCUGUUCGAGCGUCAUUAUAACCCCUCAAGCUCAGCUUGGUGUUGGGGCCUGCCGCACGGGCAGCCCUUAAAAUCAGUGGCGGUGCUAUCUGGCUCUAAGCGUAGUAAUUCUUCUCGCUAUAGAGUCCCGGAGGAUGCUUGCCAUUAACCCCCAAUUUUCUAUGGUUGACCUCGGAUCAGGUAGGGAUACCCGCUGAACUUAAGCAUAUCAAUAAGCGGAGGA